Molecule: RNA transcript, 2040 nt
Organism: Erinaceus europaeus (western European hedgehog)
Lineage: Eukaryota; Metazoa; Chordata; Mammalia; Eulipotyphla; Erinaceidae
Gene: HEMK1
Gene name: HemK methyltransferase family member 1
Exons: 12
Source: RefSeq, a predicted model, not a curated record
GUGGGCUGGUGGCGGAGGUACCUGUGGCGGGCGUGGGGUGAAGAUGGCAGUCGGGAAGGGGCGUCGGCACCUUGGGGUUCCCUGACCGCGGCAUGCAUAGGAGCAAGAGGCUGGAGGAGAGGCCGGUCGUCGGGGAUAUUAGCCCUGCAGGAGCUGCACCCUGACUGCUCCUGGGAGCGGGAGGACCUGGGCUCCAGCCUGGAGCAGUUCCUGGCCAGGUGACAUGGCACGUGACCCCCUCUAGGAGAAUCGGUUCUCCUCGAUUUGUCUGGUGAUAGUCACAUCUGAGGGCCAGAGUCACCUUGAGGAGCCAGAGUCAGUGACCAUCUUCAGCAGCUAACAUCACAAGGAAGACUUGGGAGCCCUGGAAGUGCUCAGGGGAGUCUUUCCCUGAGACAUGGCACUUUGGGGUCGAAUGCUUUGGUCCUUCCUGUCUGGCCCAGGGAGGAGGGGAGGCACUCAGGGCAGGGCCUUCAGUUCAUGGCUGCCCCAUCGACCACCAGCUGGGUUGUUGAAUGCCACAGAGCUGGUCAGCCACUGGACGGCAGUCUUUGAGAAAAGGGGUAUCCCUGAGGCCCGGGAAUCCAGUGAAUACAUCGUGGCUCAUGUCCUUGGAGCCAAAACAUUUCAGAGCCUGAAGCCAGUACUUUGGACCCAGCCCCUGACUUCUUGGCAGCUGCAGUACAUCCAGGAGCUGAGUAGCCGUCGGUUGCGAAGGAUGCCUGUGCAGUACAUUCUUGGGGAGUGGGACUUUCAGGGGCUCACUCUGAAGAUGGCACCCCCAGUGUUCAUCCCUCGCCCAGAAACAGAGGAACUGGUUGAGUGGGUGCUGGAGGAGGUGACCCAGAGACCCGGUUUGGCAGGAGCUAAAGGUGGCCCCCUCAUCCUAGAAGUGGGCUGUGGAUCUGGAGCCGUCUCCCUCAGCCUACUGAGCCAGCUUCCCCAGAGCCAAGUCAUUGCUGUAGAUAAGGGAGAAGCUGCCAUCUGCCUGACCCGUGAGAAUGCUCAGAGGCUUCAGCUACAGGACAGGAUUCGGAUUGUCCCCCUUGAUGUGACCUUAGAGGGGAGCUGGGCACAGCUUCUACUGUGGGGCCCCAUGGACUUGAUCGUCAGCAAUCCUCCCUACAUCUUCCACCAGGACAUGGAGCAGCUGGCCCCUGAGAUCCGCAGCUUUGAAGACCCACUAGCCCUGGAUGGUGGAGAAGAGGGUAUGGACAUUAUCACCCACAUCCUGGCCCUGGCACCUCAAGUUCUGAAGCACUCUGGAAGCAUCUUCUUAGAAGUGGACCCAAGGCACCCAGAGCUUGUCAGCAGCUGGCUUGAGAGCCGGCCUGACCUGUCCCUCCAUCUGGUAGCAGUGCGCAAGGACUUCUGUGGGAGGCUUCAGGCAGUAACUGGCCUGUUAUCCUGUCUCUUUAGGCCCCGAUUCCUGCAUAUCCAAAGGUCUGGACCCCAGCGUGACUGUCCUGUAGAUGCCCGGCCAGGACCCCAGCCCACUAGCGUGCCCUACUGACUCUCCUACAUCGCUUCUUGGAAUGCCUCCCAGAACCCCCAGUGUGUGAAGCGUUUGCCAUGGCUUUGUGACUCACAGGUUAUUGCUGGGGCUUGGUGCCUGCACUACGAAUCCACUGCUCCUGGAGGCCAUUUUUCCCAUUUUGUUGCCCUUGUUGUUACCCUUGUUGUUGUUAUUAUUGUUGUCAUUGCUGCUGUGCCCCCUUACCAAUUUUCUAACAUGCAGUAGCGCCGGUCCUUGGAGUAAGAGGACUGGAAGGCUGCCCAGGGUGGGCUCCCAAGACUGAGCAGGUGAGGAACGGGAUUGAGAGGGAGGGACAUUGUCCUUCAUGGCCCAUCUUCAGUGGUAAAGGGCCAACUCAGGCCUUCAGAAUGGGGCUAUUGGAGGUUCCAUCCCACCUGGCCAAGGCCAGGGAUGCCUGAAACCGCAGUCCAACUCAGGAGCUACAGAGAGAACUUCUGGGAAGCCAGGCAUGGGCUGCUGGUUUGUUUGUUUAUUGUUGGUUUACAGUAAAUACAGUUGUUUUA